RNAcentral lists this long non-coding RNA (651 nucleotides) under Helianthus annuus (common sunflower). RNAcentral describes it as "sRNA HanXRQr2_Chr13g0615581". The record is from RNAcentral. Lineage: Eukaryota; Viridiplantae; Streptophyta; Magnoliopsida; Asterales; Asteraceae.
UUUCUUUUGUUUUGUAUAUCUCAUCUGAAAUCAGUUGUAUCCUGGUUCUCCGAUUGUUGUGAUCCAGUCAGUCCGAUAACCGGAUCUAAUUUGCAAUACCAAGAACCCUAAAUAUAGAAUUAACACAAGCGUUUCUUUUCAUCCUUUGCCUCCAAUUAGUUCUCUUUUUUUUCAAUUGAAAGAACCUAGAUCUCAUCUCUCUACGGUCAAAAGUAACCUGGAGUCAUCGGAACUGGCGGCACUUGAAGCAUCCAAAGGAUUCGAGAGACGAUAAUGUUCCCUGUUUCAAAUCUUUUUGAGGUGCUCAGUUUUUCUGUCGACAAGGUGGUUGUGGCGUUUGAUUUAUAUGGUUAGGGUUUUCCAGAAUUGGGCUGACGGGAGAUCCGGGCACUCCAAAUAAGUGAGACAGGCAAGAGUGAGCUACUUCCGUACCAGCUUGAAGGAUUGAAUUUCUUACGUUUCUCAUGGUCUAAAGUCUAAACAAACACAUGUGAUACUUGCAGACGAAAUGGGUCUUGGGAAACGAUACAAAGUAUUGCUUUUUUGGCAUCGUUGUCUAAAGAGAAUGUCUCCCCUCAUUUAGUAGCACCGCUUUCUACAUUAAGGAAUUGGGAACAUUAAUUUGCUAUAUGGGCUGCUAAUAUGAAUGUU